Small nuclear RNA from Sorex araneus (European shrew), 165 nucleotides. RefSeq annotates it as U1 spliceosomal RNA. The record is from RefSeq and is a predicted model, not a curated record. The transcript has a single exon. Lineage: Eukaryota; Metazoa; Chordata; Mammalia; Eulipotyphla; Soricidae.
AUACUUAUCUGGCAGACUGAGAUACUAUGAUCAUAAAAAUGGUUUUCCCAGGUCAAGGCUUAUUCAUUGCACUCCAGAUGUGCUGAAAUCUGCAAUUUCCGUAAAGAUGAGAUACUCAACUGCAUAAUUUUAGAUACCGAGAGACUGUGUUUGCCCUCUCCCUUG